GCCUCGGUGAUGGAAUUGGUAGACGUGCCGGACUCAAAAUCCGGUGCCGCAAGGCGUGGCGGUUCGAGUCCGCCCCGAGGCACCA
This 85-nucleotide transfer RNA is filed under the name Polynucleobacter asymbioticus QLW-P1DMWA-1. RNAcentral's name for it is "tRNA-Leu (CAA) (tRNA-Leu-CAA-1-1)". It matches the Rfam family "tRNA". From Rfam's summary of the family: Transfer RNA (tRNA) molecules are approximately 80 nucleotides in length. Their secondary structure includes four short double-helical elements and three loops (D, anti-codon, and T loops). RNAcentral also lists the same sequence under 71 other names. Lineage: Bacteria; Pseudomonadati; Pseudomonadota; Betaproteobacteria; Burkholderiales; Burkholderiaceae. The record is from RNAcentral.